AGUACACGUUGACAUUUCUUUUGCAAGAUUCUCAUAUGGCAGAUUGUUUUAAAAUUCUUUUAAAACAAAAAAUUGUACAAAAAAAAUUUUAUAAAUACAAUUCGACGAAUUAAAAAUUGAAACCACGCUCACAUUUGCAUCCUUAAUAAAUCGUUAAAUGAACAAUUUAUUAUUGUUCAAUGAUAUGUAAUUAAAUAUAUCAAGAUAUGAAUUCUGAAAAUAUAAAUUUUGAAAAAAAGAAAGACUUGUAAUUGAAGAAGCAAAUUUUAUAGCUACGCUACUGAACAUGACGUCAUUCGACAAAAGCCAUUCGAACUGAGCAGGCGUAUAACCUAUCAGCUCGCAACAUUCGAGUGAUUGUUCAGCAUGUGAUCUUGUCAUUAUUUCGUUGUGAUUAUUACUUCUGAUGGUAACAACUAACAAUUUUUAAAUAAAGUUUGUAUACCGUUCCACGUUUAUUACGAAAGAAGCAUUAAGGCGUGUCAUUGAAGAAACAAACUCUGUGAUAGAUUAAUGAGUUUUAACAAUAACAGAGCAAAGGACGAAGAAUUCUGAUAUCGUCACUGUAAUCGGAGUCAUCUGCUCAAAAUGAUGAAUUUUGAAGAAGAAAAAGGAUCCACGAGAUCCUCGUCAUCACGAAAUAUUUGUUGCUGUCUCGCAACAGCUAGAUAUAACAAUUCAAAUGUAUACAGAUAUUGCGUAGACGUAGACGAUCCGGUCUGAGUGUACUAUCAACUGAAGUAAACAGAGGACAUGGAUGAAUUAGAAAAUCAAGAUUGUCGCGAAUUGAUUCACUGUAGAUACGACAAUAAUAAUAAUAACAAUAAUAAUAAUAGUAAUAAUAGUAAUAACAACAGGUUAACGGAAUAUCUUAAUUUGGAUAAUCGUGUAGAUGAUCCACUUCGAGAACCGGAAGUAACUAUGAAUUUAACUGAGGAUUCUGCUCAAUUACCACUUCAACCAUUGGAAGAACCAGAAGAGGAUUUAUUUGACUAUGAAAUUGAUACUUCAUAUCAAGAUGUGAAUACAGAAUCCGAGGAGCAAGUGGUACCAUCCAGUCAACUAAGUAAUAGUUAUAAAUAUCCUGAUGAGCUUACCAUUUCUGAUGAUGAGGUAGAUGAAGGCAUAUUUGAAGAUGAACAAGCAUCUCAUUUAGUAUUGCUAGAUGACAAUAACAGAUAUAACUCUCAACCUCCGUGAAUAUCUACUUGAUUGGUAGUUGACAUGUUUGUAGAGUAGCACUUUGUGCUAAUUCGCUACCAAUAUUAUUCAGUUUUCCAUCCAUCAGUCAAAUUUGCAGAAAAUAUAUAAAAAAAAUGUGGUAGUAACAUUAGAACUUGAUUGCUGUUUUUAUAUAAGAAAAAAACAUUCCGAGUGGCUUUUUAAUUCAUAGCCAUUGUGAUUCUUGCUAUCGAACUUGGAACAGAAAUAAUUCAUAGGUUGUUCAUAUUUGGUAUUAUAUUUCGUCAAAAGCUACUUUUUCUGUCAUCCAACGCGCAAACGAGUGAAGUCACAAUGUCAGACGCUAGAAUUACUUUCAGACUUGUGUUUGAAAAUGAAAUCGAAUCACGUCGAAUCGAAUUUCGAAGAGUUUUUUUCUUCACCAUUAGUUUGAGUGCCUGGAAAUAAUUUAUGGAACUGCAAGAAAUAUUAUUUUACUGUUGAUUUUAAAUAGAAGCUGUUAUAAAAUUUUUGUCAAUGAGAUGACGACGUAAGAAGGAAUUGAUUUGUGAUUUUGUCUAAGGGUAACUAUUUUGAUAUUCUAAUAUACUUUAAAGAUAUUUAAAUCGCAUAAUGCGUGCGAACAUGCGUGCGAACAUGCGUGUAAUAUUUAUGACAUAUUAUUAAUCAUUACGUGUUGCAAUGCAAUCAUAAUUGGUGUGCGACUGUUCGUAUCUGUGCCCUCAUUGCCUUCGAUUAAUUAUCGUAAAAUUUACAUUUUUCUUUCGCCGUAAUUCUACACCAUGGUACACGAUCAAAGAAUGCGGAAGUGAUUGCGAAAUUUCAUGUUAAUGCCAUGCUGAAACAUAAAGAGCCGUCUCUGCAUUUUUCUACAUUUAACAUGAGUUUCGGCCAUUAUUAAGAUCCUAGCGAUUAUAGAAAAUUUUUAAAAAAAUUUUUUAAAACAUUUCUUAAAGUCUUUUAGUCAGAUCAAAGUCGGAUCAACGCUUGUCAUUUCUUUUACAAGUAUUUUAAAAAAUAUACCGUUUAUACUAAUAAUAAAGUAUUUAAUGGUUAGCAAUUAAAGUAUUAUUGAAAUAAAACAUCAUUUGAUUGAAUAUUAAUAAUAAAGUAAUCAUACGAAUGAUAUUAUUCGCGCAAAUAAUAUUUUUACUCGACUGAAUUAAGUCAACGAUAUAAAUUGUAAAUUACUGAGAUAAGAAUCGUGGAUUUUAACAAUCUUCGGAAAUCUUCGAAUCGGGAGCUUAUAAAUAUUUGAUUAUAAAGUGAUUCUGUGGAAUUGUAAA
RNA transcript from Frieseomelitta varia, 2468 nucleotides. It is a transcript of the gene named putative mediator of RNA polymerase II transcription subunit 29, with no coding region annotated. The transcript has 7 exons. NCBI's taxonomy places the organism in Eukaryota, Metazoa, Arthropoda, Insecta, Hymenoptera, Apidae. The record is from RefSeq and is a predicted model, not a curated record.